This 497-nucleotide ribosomal RNA is filed under the name uncultured bacterium. RNAcentral describes it as "bacterial SSU rRNA". It matches the Rfam family "Bacterial small subunit ribosomal RNA", at positions 903 to 1397 of the family's 1533-position model. The record is from RNAcentral.
AAAGGAAUUGACGGGGACCCGCACAAGCGGUGGAGCAUGUGGUUUAAUUCGAAGAUACGCGAAGAACCUUACCCAGACUUGACAUGUAGAGAAUCCUCUAGAAAUAGAGGAGUGCCUGCUUGCAGGAACUCUAACACAGGUGCUGCACGGCUGUCGUCAGCUCGUGUCGUGAGAUGUUGGGUUAAGUCCCGCAACGAGCGCAACCCUCGUUACUAGUUGCCAGCAGUUAGGCUGGGCACUCUAGUAAGACCGCCCACGCAAGUGGGAGGAAGGUGAGGACGACGUCAAGUCAUCAUGGCCCUUAUGUCUGGGGCGACACACGUGCUACAAUGGAUAGGACAGUGAGAUGCAAUACUGCGAAGUGGAGCAAAUCUAUAAACCUAUUCUCAGUUCGGAUUGGAGUCUGCAACUCGACUCCAUGAAGCUGGAAUCGCUAGUAAUCGUAGAUCAGCCAUGCUACGGUGAAUACGUUCCCGGGUCUUGUACACACCGCCCGU